Molecule: ribosomal RNA, 468 nt
Filed under: uncultured bacterium
Lineage: Bacteria
Description: partial 16S ribosomal RNA
Rfam family: Bacterial small subunit ribosomal RNA
Source: RNAcentral
GACGAACGCUGGCGGCGUGCUUAACACAUGCAAGUCGAACGGAAAGGCCCUGCUUUUGUGGGGUGCUCGAGUGGCGAACGGGUGAGUAGCACGUGAGUAACCUGCCCUUGACUUUGGGAUAACUUCAGGAAACUGGGGCUAAUACCGGAUAGGAGCUCCUGCUGCAUGGUGGGGGUUGGAAAGUUUCGGCGGUUGGGGAUGGACUCGCGGCUUAUCAGCUUGUUGGUGGGGUAGUGGCUUACCAAGGCUUUGACGGGUAGCCGGCCUGAGAGGGUGACCGGCCACAUUGCGCCUGAGAUCCGGCCCAGACUUUUCGGGGAGGCAGUAGUCGGGAAGCUUGCAGAAAGGGAGGAAGCGAGAGCUAGCAAUCAGGCGUGCGGGACGCCGGACUUUGGGUUGUACCCCGCUUUCGCCUGUGACGAGGUGUGUGUUACGGUACUGGGUAAAGAAGCACCGGCUAACUAGGUG